AAAGUGCGAGAACUAAGGUGAUCUGCAUUUAGCGCGAAUCCUUAAAAUUUUGAACACAUAAUGUGGCCUUCGGAUAAAACCGACUGGCUGUAUUUGGUUGAGCGCCUUAUAAUACUAAAGUCGCAACAUGUAAAUGUUGGGUGACACAGUGGUUGGAUACUUUAAGUAAUAUUCUAGCCUAAAGAAAGAUAACAGAUGAGGAAGUAUAUCUUCGGACGAACAUCUUAGACUUUGACCUAGUCGUUCUCAGUAUAAUCUAGAGAGGUAAACUAGUGGAAAGAACUAAGAUUCCUAACUUGUUAUUUUUAAAAUUAAAAGGCCUCAGCUCAAGUACGACUACCCGCUGAAUUUAA
Molecule: unclassified non-coding RNA, 353 nt
Filed under: uncultured fungus
Lineage: Eukaryota; Fungi
Description: sequence contains ITS1
Rfam family: 5.8S ribosomal RNA (bases 1-107)
Source: RNAcentral